CUGAAAAUGGAUGGCGCUGUAGCGUCGUGCCUAUACUCUGCCGUCAACGGCAAAGCGGGCGGCCCCUCACGGGGCGUUGCCGUUAAGCCUUGACGAGUAGGAGGGUCGCGGCGGUGAGCGCGGAAGGGUCUGGGCGCGAGCCCGCCUGGAGCCGCCGCCGGUGCAGAUCUUGGUGGUAGUAGCAAAUACUCCAGCGAGGCCCUGGAGGACUGAUGUGGAGAAGGGUUUCUUGUGAACAGCUGUUGCACAAGAGUCAGUCGAUCCUAAGCCCUAGGAGAAAUCCGAAGCGAUGGUCUGCCGUUAAAUAUGCAAAUGUUUACCGCAAGAAGGGAGGGAGGGAGGGAGGGAGAGGAGGAUUCCACUCCUUUCUCUCUCUUUCCUUUUUUUUGCGCGUUCAAAUCUUUGAGAUGGCACCGUCUGGGCGAAAGGGAGUCCGGUUCCUAUUCCGGAACCCGGCCGCGGAACCGCUCCAAUUCGGGCCCUCAUCCGAGGACUCGUCGGGGUGACCCGAAAUGACCCGGAGAAGCCGUAGGGAGGUCCGGGGAGAGUUGUCUCUUCUCUAUAAGCGUUCGAGUUCCCU
RNAcentral lists this ribosomal RNA (580 nucleotides) under Plapigus abdominalis. Its description in RNAcentral is "partial large subunit ribosomal RNA". It matches the Rfam family "Eukaryotic large subunit ribosomal RNA", at positions 1312 to 1721 of the family's 3401-position model. Lineage: Eukaryota; Metazoa; Arthropoda; Insecta; Hemiptera; Coreidae. The record is from RNAcentral.